ACCAUAAUGUGGUGGCUUCUCUCCCUUAGGUGGUUUGCCAACUGGGGUUGGUGGCUUGUGUUCUGGGAGUGGCUUCUCCCCCUUGGGAGGUUUUUCCAAUGGGGUUGGUUUGUGUUCAGGAGGUGGCUUCUCCACUGGAGGCUUGUGUUCAGGAGGUGGCUUCUCCACCGGAGGCUUGUGUUCAGGUGGUGGCUUCUCCACCGGAGGCUUAUGCUCUGGUGGUGGCUUCUCGAAUGGGGGAUGCUUAGGAUAAUCAGCAAGUGAGGGGGCGGUGAGAACCACCAGGCCAAGCAACACCACUAGCAAAUAUGUAGGAGACAUCUUUGGGUUUGGGCUCAGAUGGUGCAAAACUAGGAGAAUUGGCUAGCCUUUUAUAGCGGAUCGUACCCAAUAAUGAAAUGACACGUGUCAUUAUGACCCAUGUGUAAUGGGGUCGAUUUGGGUCCUACAGUGUUGAAAACUUCGACAUCCACUUUUGGCCUUUUGCUUUCUCUACAGCCGCCUUGCUUUUUCCCUCUUUCCUUUUGUUUUCCUCCUGCCCCAUUCUAUCAACUAAACACAAUUAUGUAGUUGUUUAAUUCUUAAAUGAGAUAUUAUCCGUCAAUCGUAUUAUAUUUUAUCAAGAGAGAACGGAGUGCAAUGUGGCUGUAAUUUUAUCGUUUAGUUUUAUCUCUUGGACCACUGCAUUUUUGUUAAGAGGUGCAAUAAUACACGUCUUUAUCUGCCAUUCAAUAUUUACAGUAAAGAGAGGGCACAAAACUCUUCACUUCGCACCAUAAUUAUUUUGUUUUCUGGACACCCCGGGGCCCUUUGGUUGGUUUGGGGGUCAGAAAGUGAACAUCAUAGGGGGUUUUUCCCUUAUGUGCAUUUGUAUCUGAUGGCUUUAACUCGCCUUGUUACUACAAAGAAACUGUCACAGAUAGGAACUUAUUCCAGGCUGAGUAUCUCCUCAUAGACCCUAUAAAAGAAGACAAGUCAUAAUGAACAUCUAACCUUUGUUCAAUUUGAUUCAAUGCCCCCAUUGUGUCCAUCUCACAAAUCUGAAUUAUUAUAUCCAUUGAAUACAUAAAUUAAUGAAGAAAAUAUGAAACCCAAGAUACAUCUCUGCACAACCUCAACCCUGGUUGCUAUGUUUCCCUUCUAUUCACAUGAUUUGAUGCUAAUUGCCAAACUUGCAACAAGCCCUGAGUUUGACACCUAGUAUCGAUGGGCGAAUUUAAAGUCUCCUCCAAACAUAUAUUCCACAGCUUGAAGCUCACAGAAGAUGUUACAGGCAGGGAAAAACCUUCAGAGUUCGCUACCAAAGAUAAUUAUUAAGGAGAUAUCACAAAGAGAAUUCCAAGGGGUCUGAAUCAAAGACAAAUUGGUCGUUCGUGGGGGUUCUUACUUUCUUUUGGGUAUAACUCACUGAGGGCACUGUCUUUGUUAUUUGCAUUUCACAUUUAGAGUUCUGUUCUGGAAACAUAUAAAAGGAGCAUCAUUUUGUUCUUGGGUAACCCAUAGUCGUGAGUGGGUCCAUUUGCAUGCUACUUAGUUGAAAAGUUGGACCAUUUGCUCCGACGCCUACCUCCCGGAUUCCAUGCUCGGAUAAAACAAGAAUAAAAAAAAUAUUUAUAAUUUACAAAUGGGGGAAAGAAAAAAAUGUCAACAACAAACCAGGAAAAAAGAGUAGUAAAAUUCAUGUCACAUGCUAGUGAGAGAAGGGGUUGUUACACUCACUCGAAGUUCUUUCCAAAAUAUCGCAUGGUAUUUUAUUUUAUGUGUCAGCGCAGUUGUGAAUGGAACGUGCAAAAGUCCAAAUUGGCGUUUUUCCUUUUCCCGUGUAGGAUGGCGACCUUUAAUAAAUAUUUAAAACAAAAAACGAAAAAAAGGAGGGAAAAGGGAUCAGAAAAGAUAAAACAAUGUGUACAAGAGCUCAAUUAGUUUGCAAAUUACUGUUUGGAUUUUGAUAGUAUUUUAUUUGUCCAUCUAUAUUUGAUGGAAAAGAGAAUUUAAGAUAUUUCUGAAACAAAAGCAUUAGUGUAAAACUAAAUUAAGGUAUAAUUAAGUUAGUUCAAUGCAUUAAUUUAAGAAACUUGAUCUAUCCAAAGUACAAAAUUAGAUGAAAUCCAUUUCAAUGGUUAAAAUGAUCAAAAUCAAACUUUUUCUAAGUAUUUUUUAAAAGCAUCAAUAUUAAAAGACAAUUUUAUAUUUAGUCGGAGUUUGGACAAAACCAAAAAGCACACAAAAUCCAAGCGACCAUCUCUAGCUUGGAUAGUCACUUGAUCCCACCUAGAGAUGUGCAUGAGUAAAAGGAUUUGAAAAUGGAAAUUGACUAAAUAUUUAGUUGAUCAAUUAAAUUUGCAAUGUCAUAUGCAAUCCUAAUAGCUAGUCAUCUAAUCAAUUAGGUAGUCAAUCAAGUGUUUGUAAUGACUAUUUUGUACAAAAAACCACAUGUAUAGUUAAAUAUAAUGCAUUUCAUUUAUAAAUCUUCUAAUUCUUGAAUAACGAUCCUAUCAUCCUUUGAAAAUUUUUAUUACACCUUUUUUACUUUUGUUCUAAAACUUACAUAUCACCCUUAAUUGUACCAUGAGAACCUAGCUAUUUUUUUUUUUUUUGUAAUUCAUCAAAGUUAGCUUUUGUAUUCAUUGUUGUAUUAUUUUUAGUAUAACUUAGAAAGCUAGUGUUUUCAAGUGAGUAAAAUUAACUUGUAAAUAUUGUAAAGAUUCAUUGAUAUGUAUCUUAAACUAAGUGUACAAAUUAAAACAUUUGCUAGUAGAUUUUCUCAAAAUUUAGAAUAGAGCUUGAGGCUAUUGAAAUAGGUGGGGUUACACCAAACCACAUCACAUCGUUGUUUGCACCUUUUUUCACUCUCUUUUACUUAGUUUCUCUAUAUUUGUUGUCUAGUAAUAUCCUAUAGGCUUGAUGGGUUAGGGAGCAUCCCUUUGUGAAAAAAUUUCAUUCAAUUCUUAGUUGUAUUACGCAUAUAUAAAAUGCCUCAUUGUUUUAAUGGUAUUCAGUCGUGGCAUCACAGAUAUGGGCAUCUAAAUUUUAAAAGUUUGAAACUUUUGUAAAGCAUGUUGAUAAAAUCCAUGAGAGUUGUGUACUUGGGAAGCAACAUCGAGGUGACUUUAUUUUUUUUUCCUUUUAUAAUGCCACACCUAAGUCCGGUUUCUAAAUGCUAAAGUGAAAGGGUAGGUAUGGACCAUUGAAAUGUGAUCACAACUUUUGGCCUUUUCCUUUCUCUGCAGCCAUGUUGUCUCUUUUUUCUUUUGCAUGAUUUUCUUACCAAAACAGAAUCAUAGACUUGUUUAGUCUCUAAGCUACUAUAUUAUAUCUCGGUGGACUUUUAAGAGUGCAACCGACAUAGAGCACAUGCAAGUGGGCAUAUGGGACAUGAAAUUUCUUCUUACAAAGAUUGCAUGAUUUUUAUAUUAGAGUUGUUCACGUGCAAUGUAUUUAGCUUGUUUUGCAGUUAAAUUAAUUGGAUAAGUAAACAUUGGCAUUUCUAAAUCGACUGUGAAGUGCUUCAUGUACGUGUAAAGUAUUAGAAAUUUCUUUCUUGGCAACUUGUUUUUUCCUUGCCAUCUACUGGUAGGUUUGACUAAAAUUAUAUUCCCUGUCAUGCUAAUUAAUUUUCAUGUGCAUGCUCAAAAGAAGAGUAUGACCUUAGUGCACCAAAAUCACUUUGAUUAAUUUGUGAUAGGUUUUUUUGCAUCAUUUAGAUAAUGUUUAGUUCUAAGAAAAAUUUAUAUAAAAAUGGUUUAUUUAUCUUACAUAUAUAUAUAUAUAUAUAUAUUUUUUUUUUUUUCAUUUUUUUUUCUUCUAUUUUAUUUAUUUAUUUUAUUUUCCUUAUGUUUUCCUCACAUUUUCCGGAACUAAACAUAGUCUUACGAAAUCAACAAUUGCCUUCAACUGAGUAGAUUCUGUUGUUUUAGCAAUGUUAGGCUGCUAACUUGUGGUGGUACGAACCAAAUGACCCAUGUUAAUCUUGGCUUGGUUUGAUUUGGCUCUAUCUCAGAGAGCUAAAGGAUCACGUCAACUCUGGUUUCUACUAUUCAGGUCCAUUCCCAGAUGAACUGGUUCAAAUUUGAGAAAAUGGUAACAGACCUUUAGUGAUGUUGGUUUGGAGCCAGUUGCCAAACCCGCCCUGAGCUUUACCACUAAUGUCAAGGGAGAAAGCCAUUUGAACAAAAACAAUAGCUUCAAGAGACUGAAUCGUGGAUGAAAUCUGAUCCACAUUUCUUCUCAUUUUGGGAAAAAAUGAGAACUUAACUACAAAGAUUCUACUGCCUCAUUCAUAGUGCUUUUCCUGAUCCAAGGUUGGUUCGUUUCCCAAAUUGUGAGGUGCACGUGCCACUCUCACGCUCAGGAGUGUAUCCACGUGGUGGACAUCAGAUGGUGGCUUAAUAUCUGGUGUCGGUGGCUUUACUUUACUAGGAGAGUAGUGUGUCUUCAUCUCAUUCACUGCCGGAGGGUGGCGUAAGCAGUGACGCUAAGGUGGGGCACAGUCAAUAUCAUUUGCAUUUGACCAUUAUAGUUUUCUCCCGGCUUGAAAGUAACCUUAUCGUGAUAAAGGAUUACUAGCACUAGUUCAGAUGACCGUCAUGUUAAUUCGGACCAUGUUUGUGUCACAUUAUCAGCAACCAUGUGUUUAUGGUUCAUGCUAUCUGCAACUAAACUUGAUAUAUAACCAGGUGAACUUCAAUCAAAAUUCUGGAAGUACUCUUGUGAUAGAUGGUGCCUGUCUGCAGAGUCCAUCAAUUGAAAAAUGGAGUGAGUGUAUCUAUAAGAGGGAAGGCUUGGCAAAUGUUCAGUUUUCUGGGAAUUCAACAAGGAUCUAAAAUAGAUUGUUUUCUUUGCCGACUUCAAUGGUUGAAAUUUGAGAAGAUUGUGUCCACAUAUCACAACUAUUACUGGUCCUUCUGUUGCAAUUUAUCCUGUAAGGCUCUAACAUGUCUUCCAAUUCCCACUUCCCUGUUACUCCAGGAAAGCUAUUUCUGUCAUUGUGAAGAAGAAAAGAGAAUGUACAUAUCGAUGCUUUUAAGUGACUGGAGCAUUCAUAUCAGGUGGUCUGCAGCCAUAUAUGCCACUUUGUGAAGGUUGGAACAGUCAAUCACUAGGCUAUAUAUUGGUGUGGCCCAGCCACUUCAAUCAAGGACAAGUCUUCAUACUUAAAGUCAAAUUCUGCCUUUAGUCUCAUUAUAAAUUGCUGUUUAAAUAUUAAGCAAACUUUUGUUUAAUGCGAUUAAGACAGUACUAACUCAAUACUUGUUCUAUUUUUGGAUGCAAAUGCUUGAUGGUUUCAUCAUUGGAUGGGAUAAAGGUGCAUUCAUGAUUAUGAAUACUUGUAGUUAUAUUUUCAUUCUCUUUUUUCUCAAUGAGACUUGUUGGCACAAUGUUGCUGUUCAGAAACCUACCUCUCCAUGGAAAAUAAGUUGCGAUUGAUAGUACUGGAUAUGUUCAAGAAAGCUAAAUAUAGAUAGCACAAAAUAUUAUCGAUAUAAAUAGCAUUAACAGCGUACGUAUGUCUCAAUGCUCAUCAGCUAUAAGCAUGGGACAAACACUUACUAUGAGCAACUUACGUCAAAAUUCCAGAAUAGGACAUAGAAGUGACAGAUCUAUAUAUAUAGAACACUGCAUAUGAGUCACAAGAAAGGAAAUUACGGGUGCAUAGCAGCUCUUAUUUUACAUACUACUACUCAUACUGAUCAAAGUCACUCAGUUGGGAUGGGUGGGAGUAGGAGGUUUGUGGGGUGGCUUGUGCGGAGGAGUUGGCAGCUUCUUUCCAGGACCUGGUUGCUUCUCUGCUGGAGUUGAAGGAGGCUUAAUCUUCCGAGGUGGCUUGUAUGAGUCUUCAGCAUUCUCAGCUGGAGGGUGACCAGGGUUGUGACCAUAAUGUGGUGGCUUCUCUCCCUUAGGUGGUUUGCCAACUGGGGUUGGUGGCUUGUAUGAGUCUUCAGCAUUCUCAGCAGGAGGGUGACCAGGGUUGUGACCAUAAUGUGGUGGCUUCUCUCCCUUAGGUGGUUUGCCAACUGGGGUUGGUGGCUUGUGUUCUGGGAGUGGCUUCUCCCCCUUGGGAGGUUUUUCCAAUGGGGUUGGUUUGUGUUCAGGAGGUGGCUUCUCCACUGGAGGCUUGUGUUCAGGAGGUGGCUUCUCCACCGGUGGCUUGUGUUCAGGAGGUGGCUUCUCCACCGGAGGCUUAUGCUCUGGUGGUGGCUUCUCCACCGGAGGCUUAUGCUCUGGUGGUGGCUUCUUGAAUGGGGGAUGCUGAGGGUAAUCAGCAAGUGAGGGGGCGGUGAGAACCACCAGGCCAAGCAACACCACUAGCAAAUAUGUAGGAGACAUCUUUGGGUUUGGGCUCAGAUGGUGCAAAACUAGGAGAAUUGGCUAGCCUUUUAUAGCGGAUCGUACUCAAUAAUGAAAUGACACGUGUCAUUAUGACCCAUGUGUAAUGGGGUCGAUUUGGGUCCUACAGUGUUGAAAACUUCGACAUCCAGUUUUGGCCUUUUGCUUUCUCUACAGCCGCCUUGCUUUUUCCCUCUUUCCUUUUGUUUUCCUCCUGCCCCAUUCUAUCAACUAAACACAAUUAUGUAGUUGUUUAAUUCUUAAAUGAGAUAUUAUCGGUCAAUCGUAUUAUAUUUUAUCAAGAGAGAACGGAGUGCAAUGCAGCUGUAAUUUUAUCGUUUACUUUUAUCUCUUGGACCACUGCAUUUUUGUUAAGAGGUGCAAUAAUACACGUCUUUAUCUGCCAUUCAAUGUUUACAGUAAAGAGAGGGCACAAAACUCUUCACUGCUCUGCAUGUGUCCCAAAAAUGCGAUUGGACAAAUUAUGAUUUGCAUGCUAAAAAGAGGCAAAUGAGGUUAAUUCGCACCAUAAUUAUUUGGUUUUCUGGACACCAUAAAAAGAUGUUAUACAGGCAGGGAAAAACCUUCAGAGUUAGCUACCAAAGAUAAUUAUCAAGCAGAUAUCACCAAGAGAAUUCCAUAGAGUCUGAAUCAAAGACAGAUUGCUCGCUCGUGGGGGUUCUUACUUUCUUUUGGGUAUAACUCACUGAGGUCACUGUCUUUUUUAUUUGCAUUUCACAGUUAGAGUUCUGCUCUGGAAGGUUUGUUCUGGAAACAUAUAAAAGGAGCAUCAUUUUGUUCUUGGGUAACCCAUAGUCGUGAGUGGGUCCAUUUGCAUGCUACUUAGUUGAAAAGUUGGACAAUUUGCUCCGACGCCUACCUCCUGGAUUCCAUGCUCGGUAAAACAAGAAUAAAAAAAAAUAUAUAAUUUACAAAUGGGGGAAAGAAAAAAUGUCGGAAAAAAUAGUAAAAUUCAUGUCACAUGCUAGUGAGAGAAGGGGUUGUUACACUCACUCGAAGUUCUUUUCAAAAUAUCGAAUGGUAUUUUACUUUAUGUGUCAGCGCAGUUGUGAAUGGAACGUGCAAAAGUCCAAAUUGGCGUUUUUAUUUUUCCCAUGUAGGAUGGUGACCUUUAAUAAAUAUUUAAAACAAAAGACGAAAAAAAAAAGGAGGGAAAAGGGAUCACAAAAGAUAAAAUAAUGUUUACAAAAGCUCAAUUAGUUUGCAAAUUACUGUUUGGAUUUUGAUAGUAUUUUAUUUGUCGUUCUAUAUUUGAUGUAAAAGAGAAUUUAAGAUAUUUCCGAAGCAAAAGCAUUAGUUUGCUCUGUGAUGUCCCACAUCGAAUAGGGGAGAAAGUUUCUGGCGCUAUAUAUGUAGAGGCUCCUCUUAACCAAGUAGAUGCGUUUUAAAACCAUGAGGGCCCCCUUAGGUCCAAAGCGGACAAUAUCUACAUGAUUGGGUGUAAGUCAUUACAAAUGGUAUCAGAGCCGAUCCCCGACCCCGGUGUGGGGGUUUGUUUGGCCCUGUAAGGGGUGUUUGUCUGUUUGACCCCACAAUCCCAUGGGACACAACGAGGACGUUGUGUCUGCAUGGGGGGGCGUUUGUGAUGUCCCACAUCGGAUAGGGGAGAAAGUUCCUAGUGCUAUAUAUGUAGAUGUUUCUCUUAACCAAGUAGAUGCAUUUUAAAAUUGUGAGGGCCUCUUUGGGCCCAAAGCGGACAAUAUCUACAUGGUUGAGUGUAAGUCAUUACAUGCUCCAUGUCAAUUUCAGCAUUUCUCAUAUGUUUCACACAUACACAGAAGAGCAUCGUUUUUUAAAGCAUGCAUUUAUGUUGGAUUAAUUUGGAUUUUGUGGGAACUGGGGCAAGGAUCACAUGGAAGAGAGGUUGACUUUUUUCAGUACUUCAAUGGUUGAAAUAUGUGAAGGCUUGAUUGAUACUAAAGCUUGAAAUUGCGACUCUGUCAUUUGUAAAAAAAUAUGACAGCUUCCAUGCUCUCGUUUGGUUGCAUUGUCCGGUCGAGAGGUGCAAAAAGCAUUCUCUCUCUUCUAAUAGUCUUUUCGUUUAAAUCAAGGGAUUUGCCUUCCCGGUCGAGGUCCAAUAGAGGGUAACGGUCACCUACUAAACAUUAAAUGCUCCAACAACUAGUGAACUGAUCGACCCCAGCUCGACUAGUUGAGGUUACUUUUUGGUUUUCUUGUCUCCCGAGGUUAGAAACCUAUAAAUAGAGAGCUUCACUUCAUUUAUGAGUAAGAGAACACCUAAAUUUAUUUGUUUACCUACUUGUUUUUGCCAUAAAAGCUCUCAUUUCUUUUCUUGGUGUAUUAAAUCUCCAUUUGCAUAUCCUUUAGUGCACCUUUGUGAUUCAUUCUAGCCUUGAGUUGUAUUUAAGCCUUUGUUGAGCUAGGUUGAGAGUUUCAUACUUGUUUAUUGAGUGUUAAAGCCUUCAAGUGAGUUAAAACUUGAAGAGAUUGUGUAAGAGCCCAUUGGAGUCGGAAUCCAAGUGUAAAGGUGAUUAAAAGCUUGGUUGAAGCUUCAAGUUAGUGGAACUCUCACUCGGUUAUGAGCUUGAGAAGAGUGGACAUAGACAAGGCAGUGUCGAACCACUAUAAAAUCUGAGUUUGAUUUCUCUAACCUUAUCUCUUUAUAUUUGCUUCUCUUGUGCUUAAAUUUUUUGUGUUUAAAAAGAAUUUUUAAAAACUCAAUUCACCCCCUUCUUGGGAGUUUUUCUCUUUUAAGAUCAGCUUUUAUUUUCUCAAUUGGUAUCAGAACUAUGCCUCUUGUUUAAGACUUAAUCGUCUAAGAGGAAAUGGCUAAUCCAUCAAGUUCAUCUCACAUUGAAAGUUUUGCAACCAAUAGACUUCUUUUUUUUUUUUUGCGGGAACUGAUUAUCCCUAUUGGAAAACUAAAAUGACUUGGUUUUUACAAUCAAUUGAUUUAGAUGUAUGAGAUGCCAUUGAAGAUGACCUAACUUUUCCUUCAAAACUAGUUGAUGGAGUCAUGGUUCCAAAACCUAAGCAAGAAUGGGAUGAGCGUGAUUGAAGAAAUUUUCAAUUAAAUGCUAAAGUCGUUUAUACUUUGCAAUGCUCUAUGGACAGAAAUGAAUAUAAUAGAAUAUGUCAAUGCAAAUCGGUUAAAGAAAUUUGGAGAUUGCUUGAAAUAACUCAUAAAGGAACAAAUCAAGUUAAAGAGUCAAAAAUCAAUUUACUUGUUCAUAGAUAUGAAUUGUUUUUUAUGAAAGAUAAUGAAACUAUUGUUAAGAUGAUCACUAGGUUCACCAACAUUGUUAAUGGUCUUAAAGCCUUGGGAAAGACCUACAAGGAAUCCGAAAACGUGAUGAAGAUCUUGAGGUCACUUCCAUCAAAGUGGCAUACCAAGGUCACCGCAAUUUAAGAAGCAAAAGACUUGAUCAAGCUACCUUUGGAGGAGUUCAUAGGGUCAUUGAUGACAUAUGAAAUCAAUUUGGCAAAGAAGUAACAAAAAGGUGAAGACAAAAAGAAGAAGAACAUAACUCUCAAAGCUACAACUAAGGAAGAAGAAGUUGAAGAAGAAAAACAAAUUGAAGAAGAUGAAGAUUUAGCCCUCAUCACAAGAAAGUUCAACAAAUUCAUGAGGGGUGAAAGGUUUAGAAGAAGAAGGUUCACUUCUAGAAGAGACUUUUCUAAAAAGGAAUCUUCAUCUAAUGGUGACAAAAAGAGAUGGGAAGAGAAAAGAGACUUGGUGUGUUUCAAGUGCAAGAAACCGGGACACAUUAAAUAUGAUUGUCCUCUCUACAAAAGUGAAGUCAAGAGGAAAAAGAAUAAGGCAAUGAUGGCCACUUAGAGUGAAAGUGAAGAUGAAUCAUCCGAAGAAGAAAAUGAGAAAGAAGUGGCAAACAUGUGUUUCAUGGCAAUAGAUGAACUUGAUGAGGUAAAAUCUAACCUUAGUGAUUAAGAUAUACAUGAUGCAUUUGAAGAAUUGUAUGAGGAUUUUUAAAAACUUAGUUUGAAAAAUAUUUCUCUUAAAAAGAAAGUUCAACAACUUGACAAAGAACUUAGAGAAGUAAAAGAAAAAUUUUCAAAUGUUAAAGUUUCUAAAACUCAUCUUGAAAAAGAAAAUGAGAUUCUAAGAAAGAAAAAUGAAUAGUUGAACUCCUCUCUUUCAAUCUUUUCUUCUAGACAAAAAUCUUUUGAAAUGAUUCUAACUAGCUAAAAAUGUGUUUUUGACAAACAAGGGUUAAGAUUUAAAUCUUCAAAAAAUCAAAAGUAUUUUAAAAACUAUUUUGUAAAGGAAUCCACAAGUGCAAGUCCUUCCACUACUUGCAACUUUUGUGGAAGAGAAUGGCACAUUAGUAGUACGCCCUUUAAGAAAUGGUUCUCAAAAGAAUUUAAAUGCAAAAACUAAAAAAGAUUUGGAUUGAGAAAUCCAAGGUCACUAACCCUCAAGGACCCAAAAAGAUAUAGGUACCUAAAUCAACUUGAGUUUUAUGUUGUAAGGUUCAAAGAAUGAUAAGUGGUUCUUAGAUAAUGGUUGCUCAAGACACAUGACCGGAGAUGAAUCCAAGUUUGCUUUUCUUAAAAAGAAAAAUGGAGGAUAUGUUACCUUUGGAGACAAUGCAAAAGAAAGGAUGAUUGGUCAAGGCAACAUUGGUAAUGGCACAUCCUCUCUCAUUGAAAGUGUUUUAUUAGUAGAUGGUUUCAAACAUAACCUUUUAAGCAUUAGUCAAUUUUGCGACAAAGGUUUUUAAGUGAUUUUUUAAGCAUCUCAUUGCAUCAUCAAGGAUAUUCAAAAUGAUAAAACCAUUUUCAUGGGCCAUAGAUGUGAUAAUGUUUAUGCUAUAAAUAUUUCAAAAUAUGAUGGCCAUGAUAGAUGUUUUUCAAGCAUGCAUGAUCAAAGUUGGUUGUGCCAUAGGAGAUUGAGACAUGCUAACAUAGACCUCAUUUCCCAACUCAACAAAGAUGAACUUGUUAGAGGCCUUCCCAAAAUAAUUUUUUAAAAAGAUAAAGUUUGUGAAGCUUGUCAAGUGGGAAAGUAAAUCAAAAACUCUUUUAAAAACAAAAACUUCAUUUCCACAUCUAGGCCACUUGAGUUGUUGCAUAUGGAUUUAUUUGGUCCCUCUAGGACACCAAGUCUUAGAGGAAAUUCUUAUGCAUAUGCUAUUGUGGACGACUUCUCUAGAUACACAUGAGUCUUGUUUUUUAGUCAAAAGAAUAAAGUUUUUUAUGAGUUUUCAAAGUUUUGCAAUAAGAUUCAAAAUGAAAAAGGUUUUUCAAUUACUUAUAUAAGAAGUGAUCAUGGGAGAGAAUUCGAAAAUAUUGAUUUUGAAGAGUAUUGCAAUGAGCAUGGAAUUGACCACAAUUUUUUGGCUCUUAGAACUCCUCAACAAAAUGGGGUAGUUGAAAGGAAAAAUAGAACUCUUCAAAAAAUGACAAGAACCAUACUAAAUGAAAACAACUUACCAAAAUAUUUUUAGGCCAAAACGGUUAACACUUCUUGUUAUGUUUUAAAUAGAGUAUUAUUGAGGCUCAUACUUAAGAAAACUCCCUAUGAGCUUUGGAAAAACAAAAAACCCAACAUUAGUUAUUCCAAAGUCUUUGGAUGCAAUAUUUUAUAAUAAACACCAAAGACAAUCUUGGAAAAUUUGAUGCAAAAUUGGAUGUUGGAAUUUUCCUUGGUUACUCAACUUCAAGUAAAGCUUUUCGAGUUUUAACAAAAGAACCAUGGUUGUAGAGGAGUCCAUCCAUGUUAUUUUUUAUGAAUCUCCAAGAAAGAGAGAGGAUUGAUGAUGAUUUAGGUUUGAAGACCUCUAUAGGAAGAUUGCAAAUCGAAGAUAGAAGACAACAAGAAGAAAAUGGAGAGAAUCCAAAGAAAGAAGGAUCACCAUUGGCACUACCCCCUCAUCAACAAGCGCAAGGUGAAUCAAGUCAAGAGCUUCCUAAAGAAUGGAAGUUUGUCAUCAAUCACCCACAAGAUCAAAUUAUAGGCAAUCCAUCUAGUGGGGUAAGAACUAGAUCCUCUCUUAGAAAUAUUUGCAAUAAUCUAGCUUUUAUCUCUCAAAUUGAGCCUAAAAAUAUAAAUGAUGUUUUAGAUGAUGAAAAUUGGAUAAUUGCAAUGCAAGAAGAGUUAAAUCCAUUUGAAAGAAGUGGAGUAUGGGAAUUAGUACCAAGACCUUCAAAUCAAAGUGUUAUUGGAACUAGAUGGAUCUUUAGAAAUAAAAUGGAUGAAAAUAGCAUAAUUGUUAGAAAUAAAGCAAGAUUGGUAGCCCAAGGUUUUAAUCAAGAAGAAAUGAUAGAUUAUGAAGAAACCUUUGCCCCCGUAGCUAGGUUGGAAGCCAUUAGGAUGCUACUUGCCUUUGCAUGUUUUAAAGACUUUGUUUUAUAUCAAAUGGAUGUGAAAAGUGCUUUUUUAAAUGGUUUUAUAAAUGAAGAAGUAUAUGUUGAACAACCACCCGGUUUUCAAAGUUUCAACUUUCCUAACCAUGUUUUUAAACUUAAAAAGACACUUUAUGGUUUGAAACAAGCACCUAGAUCAUGGUAUGAAAAAUUGAGUAAAUUUCUUUUGAAAAAAAUGUUUUAAAAUGGGAAAAAUUGACACAACUCUUUUUAUAAAAACCAAAGAAAAUGAUAUGCUCUUAGUUCAAAUAUAUAUUGAUGAUAUCAUUUUUGGUGCUACUAAUGUCUCUCUUUAUGAAGAAUUUUCUAAGUGCAUGCAUAGUGAGUUUGAAAUGAGCAUGAUAGGAGAACUCAACUUCUUCCUUGGACUUCAAAUCAAGCAACUAAAGGAAUGAACCUUCAUCAAUCAAGCAAAGUAUAUAAGAGAUCUUCUCAAAAGGUUCAACAUGGAAGAAGCCAAAACAAUGAAGACUCUAAUGAGCUCAUCCAUUAAGCUUGAUAAGGAUGAGAAAGGUAAAUCCAUUGACUCUAUUAUGUAUAGAGGCAUGAUAGGUUCUUUGCUCUAUUUGACCACUAGUAGACCUUACAUUAUGUAUAGUGUGUGUUUGUGUACUAGAUUUCAAUCUUGUCUUAAAAAAUCUCACUUAAGUGUCGUGAAAAGAAUCCUCAAAUAUUUGAAAGGGACAAUGGACAUAGGCUUAUGGUAUCCUAAGAGUGAUAACUUUGAAUUAAUUGGUUUUUUGGAUGCUGAUUUUGUCAGUUGUAGGGUUGAAAAAUAAAACACUAGUGGCACUUUUCAUUUCUUAAGACACUUACUUGUCUCAUGGCAUAAUAAGAAGCAAAAUUUGGUAGCUUUGUCAACAGCAGAAGCUAAAUACAUAGCAACUGGUUUAUGUUGUGCACAAAUCCUUUGGAUGAAAUAAACACUUAGUGAUUUUGAUUUAUCUUUUGAGCAUAUUCCUAUUAAAUGUGAUAAUAGUAGUGCCAUAAGUAUAUCAAAAAAUCUCGUGCAACACUCUAGGACUAAGCAUAUAGAGAUUAGACAUAAUUUUCUUAGAUAUCAUACACAAAAGGAUGAUAUAACACUUGAAUUUGUAAGCAUAAAAGACCAACUUGCCGAUAUCUUUACAAAACCUCUAAGAACAUUUUGUUGAUAUUAGAGGACAAUUAGGAGUGAUUUCUUUAUGAUCUAAUGUGAUGAAUUCUUGAUGAAUAUACUUUUUGAUUGCAUGAAUUUCAUGUCAUAUAUGCAUCAUAUAGAAAUAUACUUAGAUAAUGGUCAAAUUUCGACCAAAAAUCAAAAUUCCCAUGGCAUUAGGCAUAAAAAUUUUGGAAUUUCAACUGAAAAUGGUAGGAGGAGGAUCACAAAAUGAGAAAGUAUGCAAAAAUUGAAAAAUCAAAACGUUGACCAAGCGGUCAAUCGGACUAGACCGAUCGACUAGUUUGUCGAGAUUUAGGAUUUUUAAGAGACUCCAACGCUUCAAUUUUUGCACCGUUCUCCUCUAUUUCUUCACGGUUUCUCUGAUUUUGUCUUUUAGAGACUAAUUUGAGUGCGUUUUGGAUCAAUUGAAGCAUUUUGGAUUGGAUUUUAGGAAGAUUGAAAGUUAAGGUUUCGGAUUUGGGUCGCCUUCUCUUCCUCUCGCGUGUCACAAUCAGCUUUAGCAUUGUUCUCUUUCCAUUUUCACACACCUAGGGUUUCAGUUGUGAGCAUCUCUCUCUCUUUACCAACCACUACUCCCUUGCUUCUUCCAUAUGGCUCCUAGGCGAGAGUCCGCUACUUCUAGGGCACAAGGCAAGCACCCAACUGAGUCGUCUCAGUCAAAGGCACGUCGAAAAGUGAGAUUUGACAUUGCCUUGUUCAGUUCCAUGGAGGACUACCAACUAUACAAGCAACACUUUGCUUAGAGACGAGUAGUUCCCAAGAGAAAUAUUAAUUUUCCUCAACUUCAGCAUUUCGAAUUUAAGGGUCUAUUUACUAGGAUGGUUGGUUGUCUAUUGUCACAAUUUCGGAGCCGGUUUUCCUGACCUUAGUGCGAGUUUUUUACUCGAGGGCGACUUAUGGCAUGGGUGGCAUGAUCAUUUCUACUGUUGGAGGAGUUGAGAUCUGUCUGGACCCAGAGAGCAUCUGCCAUAUUUUCGAUAUUGCUCUGGUUGGACUCAAAGUAUACAAGUCCAAAAUGUGGCCCAUUGUGCCAGGAUUUGAGCUUAGAGAGGUCAUUCAGAGGAUUUGUGAACUUCCAGACGCCCAGGAGAUGGGCAAACCAUUGCCACACAGUUUGACGGUCAUCAACAGGGUGCUACACCAUAUAUUGUGCUCUAUCUUUCUACCACGAAGUGGACAUUGAGAUGAGGUCUCUUAUUAUGAGGCAUUCCUUAUUGACUCCAUUCUAACGGAGAGACGAAUUCAUCUACUAUGUCAUCAUUCACUAAGCCUCCUCACAGUGACAUACCACCUCAUCAGGCACCUCUUGCUCCUGACCAUGCUCCAUUGAUGGAUUUAUUUACUCAUAUUAGCUCUCUAGGCACUCGCAUGAAGGAGUUUGUUGUAGUUAGUGAUACAUGGUUCUACUCCAUAGAGGAUCGCAUGGAUCAGUAUCAGACUGGCUUCACGUCACAGUUUGAGUAUCUCCAAUAGAGGAUUGAGCAUAUUGAGGAUCACUUGAGCAUGAGAAGAUGAUGGCUUUUCUAUGCUCUGUGUUUCCACCUCCACCUCGUCAACCUUGAUUUCUUAGAGACCCAUUGUUUUCAUUUUGUAAUGUUGCCAAAAGGGGGAGAUAUUUAGGAUCUAGGACUCUAUAGGAGACUUACAUGCAUAUCAUUUUCAUAUCAUUGUUUGGAUCGUACAUAUUGGAUAGUGAUACUUUUUACUUAUAUAUGAUAUGCCUAUAUGUUUCAUGUCUUACAUUGUUUCUUAUUGCAAAUUAUCUCUAACAUGUCUUGAUUAUCUUUUUUUUAACUUCAUAAAUUUUGAUUGUUAACCCAUGAUUGGUUUGAGGGGAAGAUUCUUCUUCUCCUAGAUAACCAAGGUUUGUCAUCAUAAAAAAAUUGGAGAUUGUUAGCCCAAGGGUUCUCCUAAUCAUGUUUUGAUGAUAACAAACCAUGCUUAAGUUACUAAUUGGUUUGAAUUAUAAAGAAUUUCAAGUGUUAAUUUGAAAAUUCAUCAAAGAACCUAAUGGAUGCAAGAUCAAGAUUUUUGGAAGACCUUUAAUCAUAAGAAACAUAUGUAAGAUGAAUGCAUGGGUGCACUUAAGAUUUGCAUAUCAUUUCAUGCAUAUUUGGAAAACACGGUUUAUGCUUUAAAGUUACAUUUCCAUCAAAAUUUGAGAUCCAUCAAAUGAACCUUAGGAAAAAUGUUUUAAAAUUGGCAUAUAAUUUUACCUAAAGACCUUGCCUAAGUGUUAGAAGCAAAAGGACAAAAAAAAUAUAGGUUUUCUGGUCAAAAAUGGUGAACCAGUCAAGGCAUUGUCUAAAUCAGCUCAAUCGGCCAAGGUACCGGUCGAUCGGUUUCCCUUUCCCUGUCGAGAUCUAGUCAAGAGGUACAAAAAUCACAAUCUCUGUCUCUUUCUCUCUUUGUCUAUCUUCCAGUAGUCUUUCCUUCCCGGUCGAGGGAUUUGCCUUCCCGAUUGAGGUCCGAUUGAGAGUAAUAGUCACUUGCCAAAUAUUAAAUGCUCCAACAGUUAGUGAACUGGUCGACCCCCACCUUGCCCAGUUGAGGUUACUUUUUGGUUUUCUUGGCUCCCGAUGUUAGAAACCUAUAAAUAGAGAGUUCCACUUCAUUUAUGAGCAAGAGAACACUUGCAUUUAUUUGUUUACCUACUUGUUCUUGCCUUAAAAGCUCUCAUUUCUUUUCUUGGUGCAUUAAAUCUCCAUUUUGAUAUCCUUUAGUGCACCUUUGUGAUUCAUCUUAGCCUUGAGUUGUAUUUGAGCCCUUUUUUUAGCUAGGUUGAGAGUUUCAUACUUGUUAAUUGAGUGUUAAAGCCUUCAAGUGAGUUGAAACUUGUAGAGAUUAUGUGAGAGUCGAUUGGAGCCGAAAUCCAAGUGUAAAGGUGAUUAGAAGCUUGGUUGAAGCUUCAAGUUAGUGGAAUCCUCACUCAAUUAGGAGCUUGAGGAGAGUGGACGUAGCCAAGGAAGUGUCGAACCACUAUAAAAUUUGAGUUUGAUUUCUCUAACAUUGUCUCUUUAUAUUUGUUUAUCUUGUGCUUAAAUUUAUUGUGUUUAAAAAGAAUUUUUAAAUACCCAAUUCACCCCCCUCUUGGGUGUUUUUCUCUUUUAAAAUUAGCCUUUAUUUUCUCACAAACUAUUGUAGUAUAGUGGUUUUUAGGUGUCAUCCAUUAGGAUGAAUUGUUCUCGGUAAUUAAGGCGUGAAUGAGAGGAGAAUUAAUGAUUGUGAUUAAGUAAAAUUGAUUUGAAAAUUCAUGGUGAAAAAUCAAUUUAACAAUGGUUUCUAAUUGAGAAAAACAAUGAAAUGUGAAAUAAAAUAAAAUUAAUAGGAAAUGAAAUUCUCGAAGUUAGAAUUUUCUAAAAAACAAAUUCCAUGGUGAAUGGAUGUUGAGAUCUAAUUUUCAUCAAGUUAGAUUGAAAACCGAAAUUUUCAUAUAAACUGAUUUUUUAUUUAGUUUUAGGUCUAGAUUUAAUUUCCCUUAAAAUUAGGUUAUUUAAUCCAAGAAAUCAAUUCAAAUCAUAUAUUCAAUUCAUCUUAAAUUAUCUUCCAAUUAUUCACACAAUGCAACUAUUCAAUCUCAUCAAAUCUAGCUUUUAAGAAUUUAAUGAAUCUACCUAGUUUGCAUUGUAAUAGUCAUCCAUGACAAUUUGAAGAGAAAAAUAAUUCAAUUAAUCAAUCACUUGGAUCAAAUUACCUUUGCAAUUAAAGUUCAUUUCUCUAAUUCACCACAGAUUUUGUCUCUAGAUCCUCCUUUCUCAAAGAAAAAUGAGAUUUAGCCACACAUGAUUGGAGAUUUGGUCUCAUAAGGCAUGUUUAGCUAGUGAUAAAAUGAGAGAAAAUAAAGAAAAAUAGAGAAUUCGAUUAAGAAAGAAAAUCUAAAAAAUUCUACAAUUAGAAAUGUCCAAAAAGCUUUUUCAUGAGAAAAUCAAGUUUCUAUUUAUAGGCCAAGGUCAAGUGGACACUUGACAUCAUCUAAGAGGUCUUCCGGAAGCUUCUUCAUCAAGAAAUCUGGAGUUUAAUAAUAAAAUGGUCAUUUCACAAGAGCUCAAACAAUUUCGCAUGAUUAUGUGAAAUAAAAAAUGCAACAACAGCAAUUUACAUCUUCUUGGAGCAUUUCGCAUGACUGUGUGAAAUUUUCACAUGAUCAUGUGGAAUCGACUUGACAACUCUCAUUUAGCCUACAACAUAAUUCCACCUUUUGGUCCAUUUUUCAUAGUCAUGCGAAAUGGAAAUAUUUGAUUUUUAAGUUUUCUUUUGUCAUUUCUUUCAUUUCCUUCUCUUGAUUCCACUUCAACUACCUCCGAAUCCUGGUCCAAACCAAUUGCAUUACUUCUUUCAUUAUGCAUUUGGAUCAUCAUCAACAUUAUUUGUUCUCUUCAAUUUGAUUCAUCUCUUUUGUCACCAAUUUAUCAAAAUCAUACCUUGAAAUGACUCCAAAACUUCAUAAAACUUGUUAGUAACUCUUGCAAGGGCAACAACAUAUUAAUUAAGUGUUUUAGGCAUAGUUACUACUCAAAAGAUGCGAAACUCAUGAUAAUUAUUAUAUAAAAUAUGCUCUUUUUGAGUAGUAAUCAACUUUCUUGCAUAAGCAGACCUUUUAGGGUGGAGUACUAAAGACCAAUAUGCUUGUCCUUGUUGUAAUAAAGAAACUUGCUCUUAUUGAUUGCACCAUGGGAGAAAAUUUUGCUACAUGAGUUAUCAUCAAUUUCUUCCCACCAAUCAUAGAUUUAGACGUGACAAGAGGCCUCUUAAUGGCAAGGAGGAACUGACACUCACACUUAUACAAUUAUCGGGCAUUGAUGUGUUGCAACAAUUAGAAUAACUUACACCAAUUAUGUUGGGGAAGUCACAAAAGGCAAACAUGAAAACUAAAAGGAAAAAAGAAAAAUGUUACAUAUCACCACAACUGGAAAGAAAAAAGUAUUUACUUUCAUUUGCCAUAUUGGAAAGCACUUAUUUUACAUCAUAAUAAUUUAGACAUAAUGCAUAUUGAGAAAAAUGUGUGACAAUAUAAUUGAGACAUUGUUCAGUAUUGACGAAGAAACAAGGACAACCUAAAUAGUCAUCUCGAUUUACAAGCUCUAACUAUUAGAAAUGAGAUUCACCCAAUAGAAAGCAGGACCAAAUUUAUUUUGCUUGCAACAUGCUACUCACUCACCCCAAAUGAGAUUAAGGAAUUUUGCAAGUUUUUGAAAUCAAUAAAGGUCCCCAAUGGCUAUUCUUUCAAUAUCUCUCGUUAUGUGCAACUCAAUGAAAGGAAGAUAUAUGAGCUCAAAUUGUAUGAUUGUCAUGUCCUAAUGCAACAACUUCUCUCACUUGUAGUUCGUGGAGUUCUACAUAAGAAUGUUUGUGGAGUUAUCAUAGAAUUGCGUAAUUUUUUCAAGCAAUUGUGCUCAAAGGUGUUAGAAACAAAUCACUUACACCAACUUGAGAACAAUAUUAUUGUCAUACUAUGUAAAAUGGAGCAAAUAUUUCUUCCAUCAUUCUUUGAUAUUAUGGUGCAUUUACUUGUGCAUCUAGUAAGGCAAAGGUUGCAAGACUUGUGCAAUAUUGUUGGAUGUACCUAAUUGAACGAUAUUGUUAUAAUUUCAUAUGAAUCAUUUAAUUUUAUUUUAUAUUAUGUUCAGUUCAUUAACAUGUACAUUGGUCUACAUAUGGAUGAUGAUAGGUACCUAAGCACUUUAAAGUCAUAUGUGCGUAAUAGAACUUUUCUAGAAGGUUCUAUUGUAGAAAGGUACCUUGCAAAAGAAUGUACAACAUUUUAUUCUAGGUACUUGAAUGAUGUGGAAAUAAAGUAUAAUCACAAUGAUAGAAACUUUGUUGGUUUCAACACUAGAGGAGAUGAAAGGGGUUAUCUUUAAACAUAUUGGACAUGCAUUGGGAAAGCCCAUAUUUCAUUAACUUAGUUCAAAAGAGUGGUCACAAGCACAUUUAUAUGUGUUGACAAAUUGCGAAGAUGUCAUACCAUUCAUUGAGUAAAAAAUUUAUUUGAAUUUUAAUUAAAGCUCUAGUUUAUAUCCUUAAUCAAUGUUUUUUAAAUUCACAAGGAGCACAAGCAAACCAUCAAGGCUAGACCACAUAUACGUGUUUGAGACGUAGAUUUAAUUCAUAACAAGGAAUUUAUCAAGUGGUUUGAAAGACAUGUAAGUAUAUUCCUUAUUAUAAGGGAUUUAUUUCACAUUAUGUUUAUAUUGAAUCCAAACCUAUUAUUGAAUUGUAGGUUGAACAAUUACAUAAUGAAGGUCAUAUAUCUGAACACCUUCUCACAUUAUCAUGUGUUCCAAAUUCAUUAGUUACAUGCUUCAAAUGAUAUAUUGUCAAUGGAUUUAGAUCCCACAUUAAAGAACGUGAUAAAAAAGUUUUUAAAAAAAGACUCAGAAUAAUGGAAUUGUUGUAGUUGCAAAAACGUCAAGCUUUACAAGUGCAUGUGAUAUGAGUCCAAUUAUUAGUGAUGCUCUCUACUAUGGUGUUCUAACUAAAGUUGUUGAGUUACAUUAUCUUGGUGAAAAUAAGGUUGUUUUAUUCGAGUUUGAUUGGUGGGAUGUUACAAAUAUUGGAAAAUUGAUAAAAGAUGAUGAGUACAAUUACACAUUUGUUAACUUUGCAUGAAUUCUAACCACGAACGAACGAUUUGUACUUGCAUCUCCAGCAAAGUAAGUGUUCUAUGUGAAGAAUGCGAAUGAAUCAGAUUGGCAUACUAUCAUGGAGAUGCAACCUCAAGACCUCUAUAAGAUGAACGGGAUAGGAUCCAAUGGUGAUUUUGAACCAUUUCAACAAAGUGAACUACAUGAUCACUAAUAUAUCUCAGAUUUAGUUGAUGAAGAUAUAAUCAAGUGGAACAAAAGUGAUGUUUUAGGACUAAUCAUCCUAAAAAAUAUUGUAGUUUCUUAAAAAAAAAAUGAAAAUGAAGAAGAUAAUUGAACCUUUGUCAUACUUUAAAAAGCAACUAUGCAUUGUUCAUUUUGUAUGUUUUGGUUUUCUUCAUUUAAUUUCCUGAUUUUUGUGAUUCAAUGUCAUAUUAUUGAUCUUGAAAUAUUUUUCUAAUUUUUCAUUCUACGAUGGUUUCAACAAGGAUGACAUCAAGUCAAAAAAGGAAAUGUGGUCCCACACACAAUAUUGCAUUACAGGGAUUAAGGUCAGGGAAGAAGGUAAAAGUUGCAUUUAAUGAGUACAAUCAAUUGGUUAAACAGAAAAAUGGAAAACACUUAUCGAGCUACAUAGGGACACUUGUAUCUAACCAACACAAUGUACCUCUCCAAGCUAGUGAUUGGAAAAAUGUUCCAAAUGAUGCAAAAGAGAAAGUAUGGCCUUUGUUUUGGUAUGUUGUAUUUCUCACUAUAUGAUGUCAUUUCACUGUUAUUCUAUUUUGUGACUAACGUUUGAAUCAUAUGUAAGAAAAAUUUGAAGUAGAUAAAGACUGAAAAGAUUACAUGUUGGGUAUAGCCUCAAAUAAAUAUAGAAGCUAUAAAAAUAUGAUGAAUGCAAAAUACUAUGACCCUUGGCAUAAGGAUGCAUGAGGAGAGGUUAAUACAUAAAUCACCAUUUGUCUCUGAUGUUGAUUGGAAGUGGCUUGUCUCUGAUGCAUAAACCAAAUCCCCCACUGAAUGUUUGAUAUUUGAUAGCAGGAAAAACACACCCGCAGCUAUACACCUCCAUCAUUCAGAUAAUUAUAGUGGGGGAGAUGAUUCAUGGUUGCCCUUAUACCCUUUAUUUGCACCAUCUAUUGAGAUUCUUUAUCAUGGCCAGGUUUUACUGCAGCAAUAAGAUAUGGUGGCAACAAUUUUAUCUAUAGGUGCGGUUCCAGACCGCCUCCAUAGGUGCGGUUCCUGACUGCCUCCAUAGGUGCCUCUUCUUGUAAUGUUUGUUCUGGGAAUUACACUUGAAAGCCUUAUCGUGAUAAGGGAUUACAAACACUAGUUCAGAGGACAGCCAUGUUAAACUUCCACUAUGUUUGUGUCACAUUAUCAGCAGCCUAGUGUUUAUUGGUCAUGCUAUCUGCAACUAAUAUAACCCGGUGAACUUCAAUCUAAAUUCUGAAAGUACUCAUGUGACAGAUGGUGCCUUUCAGCAGAUAUCAUCAAUUUAAAAGUAGUGUGUGUGCCUAUAGGUGGGAAGGCCUUGGCAAAUGUUCAGUAUUCCGGUAAUUCAAGAAGGAUAUAUCUAAAAUAGAUUUUCUUCUUGCCCAUUUCAAUAGUUAAAAUUUGAGAAGAUUGUGUCCACAUCACACAAAUAUUAUUGGUCCUUCUGUUGCAAUUUACCUCUGAACAUGUCUUCCAAUUCCCACGGUCCUGUUACUCCAGGAAAACUAUUUCGGUCAUAUUGAAAAAAAAAAUAUUAAAGAAGGUACACAUGCUUUUAAGUGGACUGGGGCAUUCAUAUCAGGUGGUCUGUAUCCACAUAUGCCACUUCGUGAAAGGUGGAACAGCCUAAUCACUAGGCUAUUUAGUGUGGCCCAGCCACGUUAAUCAAGCACAAGUCUUCAUACUUAAAGUCAAAUGGUGUCUUUAGUCUCAUUACACAUCGCUAUUUGAAGAUUAACUCAUCACUAGUGUAAUGCGAUUAAGACAGUCCUAACUCAAUAUUUGUUCUAGUUUUGGAUGCAAAUGCUUGCUGGUUUCAUCAUUGGAUGGGAUAAAGGUGCAAUCAGGACUAUGAAUACGUGCAGUAAUACUUCAUUCUCUUUUUUCUCAAUGAGACUUCUUGGCACAAUUUUGCUGCUCAGCAACCUACCUUUCCAUGGAAAAUCAGUUGUGACUGAUAGUAAUGGAUAUAUUCUAGAAAGCUAAACAUAGAUAGCAUUCAAUAUUAUCGAUAUAACAUUAACAGCGUAUGUCUCAAUGCUCAUCAGCUACAAGCAAUGGACAAACACUUUGAGUAACUCACAGCAGUCAAAAUUCCUAAACAGGACAGACGUGACAGAUCUAUAUAUAGAACACUGCAUAUGAGUCACAGGAAAAGAUAAUACGGGUACAUAGAAGCUCUUAUUUUACAUAUUACUCAUACUGAUCAAAGUCGCUCAGUUGGGAUGGAUGGGAGAAGGAGGUUUGAGGGGUGGCUUGUGCGGGGAAGUUGGCAGCUUCUUUCCGGGAGCUGGUUGCUUCUUUGCUGGAGUUGAAGGAGGCUUAAUCUUCCGAGGUGGCUUGUAUGAGUCUUCAGCAUUCUCAGCAGGAGGGUGACCAGGGUUGUGACCAUAAUGUGGUGGCUUCUCUCCCUUAGGUGGUUUGCCAACUGGGGUUGGUGGCUUGUUUUCUGGGAGUGGCUUCUCUCCCUUGGGUGGUUUGCCAACUGGGGUUGGUGGCUUGUGUUCUGGGAGUGGCUUCUCCCCCUUGGGAGGUUUUUCGAAUGGGGUGGGUUUGUGUCCUGGUGGUGGCUUCUCUCCCUUGGGAGGUUUACCAAUUGGGGUCGGUGGCUUGUGUUCUGGGAGGGGCUUCUCUCCCUGGGGAGGUUUAGUGGGUGGCUUGUGUUCUGGAGGUGGCUUCUCCACCGGAGGCUUAUGCUCUGGUGGUGGCUUCUCGAAGGGGGGAUGCUCAGGGUAAUCACCAAGUGAGGGGGUGGUGAGAACCACCAUGCCAAGCAACAACACUAGCAAGUAUGUAGUAGACAUCUUUGGGUUUGGACUCAGACAGUGCAAAACUACGAGAAAUCGCUAGCCCUUUAUAGCGGCUCGGACCUAAUACUGACAUAAUAUAAAAUAAAUAUUAUAUUUUAUCAAGAGAGAACAGAGUGUAAUUUUAUCAUUAAUACCGAUCGAGGCCAAAGAAAGAAGACCCAUAAUCCAUUUCCCACAAGCAUACACAAUGCAGCUGUAAUUUUAUCAUUUACUUUUAUCCCUUGGACCACUGCAUUUUUGUUGAGAGACACAAUAACACAUUUUUAUCUGUCAUUCAACAUUUACAGUAAAGAGAGGGCACAAAACGCAAUUAGAUAAAUUAUGUUUUGCCUGCUAAAAAGAGGCAAAUAACUUUAUUUGCAACAUAAUUAUUUUGGUUUCUAGUGACCCCGGGGCCUUUCGGUUGGUUUGGGAUCGGAAAAUGAACAUCAUAGGGGGGGUUGUGCCCUUAUGGGCAUAUAUAUCUGAUAGCUUCAACUGGCCUUGUUCCUAGAAAGAAAUUGCCAAAGAUAUAAACUUAUUCCAGGCUGAAAGUAGAUGAGAGUCAUAAUGAACAUCAACCUUUGUUCAGUUUGAUUCAAUGCCCCCAUAGUGUUCAUUUCACAGAUCUGAAUGAUUAUAUCCGUUGAAUACAUAAAUUAAUGAAGACAAAUAUGAAACCCAAGAUACAUCUCUGCAUAACAACCCCAACCCUGGUUGCUAUGUUUCCCUUCUUCUAUUCACAUGAGGAUACUGGUUAUAAUUGUCAAACUUGCAACAAGCCCUUUGACACCUAACGUCAAUGGACGAAUUAAAAGUCUCCUUCAAACGUCUAUUUCACAGCAUGAAGCUUAUAAAGGAUGCUGACAACCUUCAGAGUUAGCGACAAAAGAUAAUUAUCAAGGAGAGAUAGUUCCAUGAGAAUUCCAAGGAGUCUGAAUCAAAGACAAAUUGCUCACUCAAGGGUUCUUAUUUUCUUUUAGGUACAAAUCUCUUGAGUGUUGUUAAAGAAACACGUCACUGUCAUUUUGAUUUGCAUUUAACAUUUCACUUUUGUUCUGGAAGGUUUGUUCCGGAAACAUAUCAAAUGAGCAUCAUUUUCUUCUUCGGUGACACAUGGUCGCGAGUACGUGGGUCCAUUUUCAUGCCACUUAGUUGAAAAGUUGGAAAGAAAAAACAUGCCAACAAGAAGAUAGUGAGAGAAGGGGCACUUCAAGCCUUUAACAUGAACAAACAGUAAAUAAAAGAUGUUUCUCCACUCAUAAAAGUGUGUUAGAUAGCAAUAUAACGAAUCACAUCCAAAAUCUUUACUAGGCUCAAACAUAAAGAAGACUCAUUUUUAAGAAAAGAUAAAAAUGGCAUUGUCUGAUAGUAUCCAAUACACGAGAUGGCACUUAAUUUGUACAAGAUCUGUCAAUGCUGACGCACAUUUUCUGAUUAAAAAAAAACUGAUCAGUCAAAAGCAAUGAAGAGAAGUGAUGACAAUGAAUGAUGCUUCCAAUAUUUUCACCCCUUAUAGUGUUCUUCAUGAUUCAGAUAUAUAAUUGGAAAUAGAACAACCCUAUGCCAUACAUUCGUCUAAGUAUGGUGUCUAAUUUUUUGUGUCAGCGGUUGCGAAUGGAGCGUGCAAAAGUCCAAAUUGGCGUCUCUCCAUUUCCACAUAGGAAGGUGACCUUUAUUGACAAAUACCCAAUAUUUGUAGACAUUCCUUAAAUAUCAUAACUUCUUGUUGAUUUGAAAAUCAUUUUUCAACUACCAUGUUUUAAUAAAUAUUUUUUAAAAUGUAUUUUUAUCAAAGUCCACCAUGAUGGAUAAUAUUCACCAUGCAAUAAUUAAUAAAGUACAAACUAAGCGAAAUGAAAAGCAUUUUCUUUGCUUUGAGUUGAUUUUGGUUGCAUUGAGUUGAUUUUGGUUUCAUGGUUUUUUCAACUCUUAUUUUGAUUGGAAGAUGUCAAGAAAAGAAAACAUAAAGAAAAAUUAAAAGGGAAAAAAGAAGAAAAAUAAAAAAAAAUAGAUUUAAAAGUUAAUAAAUUAUUUUUUAUAUUUAUUUUAAUUCAUUUCACUUAUUUUUCUUUUACUAUAUAAAAUUUAAAUAAUUUAAAUUUUAUAAUUAAUUUAAUUACAUUUCAUUUUCUUCUAUAUUUAAAUAUUGGAAAAAUAUUUUACUUAAUAUUUUUUUCUUUAAUUUCUUUGGCAUUUUGGGAACCAAACUUAGCCUUUAAAAUAAAAAACAAAAAAAAAAUGAAAAUAAGGAGGGAAAAGUGAGAAAAGAUAAAAACAAUAUGUAAAGGAUUUGAAAAGUAUUAGUUUGUAAUUACUAUUUGGAUUUCAAUAGUAUUUUAUUUGUCUUUCUAUAUUUCAUGUAAGAGAGAAUUUAAGAUAUUCCCCAAGGCAAAGCAUUAGUUACCUGCAAUCAGUGGUGAUAAGGCUCCAAGCCAAUUUUGGGCCCCAUAUCUUAAGACAGUACAAUUUCCAUUUCAACAUUUCUGAUUUCUCAGAUGUUUCACAUACCACAGAAGAACAUUGUUUGUGAAAAUAUGCAUUUAUGUUGGAUUUUGUAUGCUGUGGGGACUGGGGCAAGGAUCAUAUGGAAGAGUGGUUGACUUUUUCUGUACUUUAACGGUUGAAAUAGGAUAAGCACGGGCAUUUGUGAGGCUUAAUUGAUUUUGAAGCCUGAAAUUGCGUUUCUGUCAUUUUGUCAAAAAAAUGGCAGAUUCCAUACUCAUAUGUUUGGCCUGUGGCCAUGUACAGAUGCCAUUUAGUGACCAGUUUGUAACUGUCAAUCGUUGCGUUUUGACUCUGCCUCAACAACAUCUGCCAUUGACGGGUUUUCAUACUUGCAAAUCAAAUAGUCUUUCGUCCCAUCAGGAAUUUCGGUUUAAAUAUUAUUAAGCAUACGUUUGGCUGACAAUCAUUAUCCAGUUCAUGAUUUGGUUUCUUACCCUUAAUCAAUGGUUUCUAAGUGAAUAUAUGUAGAAGGAAAUCCGAAGUGUAGACAGUAGUAUCGAUAACUCUCAAUAUUCUCUAUAUAAUAGAAUAAACAGCGUCAUAGUGAUCGUCGCCUACAAGCAAGGUACAAAUACCAAAACGAGUGACUCACAUAGACAUCUCCCAACAAGAUGUAGUAGUGACUGACACAUGGACACAAUUAACUCGUAGAAAAGGAUAAGACCAUUGCACAGCAGCUCUUAUUUUACAUACUACUUAUGCUAACCAAAGUCAAUUAGUUGGGAUGGGUGGGAGAUGGAGGUUUGUGCGGUGGCUUGUGGGGCGGAGUUGAUGGCUUCUUUCCAGGAGCUUCUGGCUUUUUCAUCGGAGCUGAAGGAGGCUCAAUCUUAUGAGGCGGCUUGUAUGAGUCUUCUUUACUCUCGACAGGAGGGUGGCCAGGGUUGUGAUCAUAAUGUGGUGGCUUCUCUCCCUUAGGUGGCUUGCCAACUGGGGUUGGUGGCUUGUGUUCAGGAAGUGGUUUCUCUCCCAUGGGAGGUUUAGCAAUUGGGGUUGGUGGCUUGUGUUCUGGGAGUGGCUUCUCUCCCUUGGGAGGUUUAGUAGGUGACUUGUGUUCUGGAGGUGGCUUCUCCACCGGAGGCUUGUGCUCCGGUGGUGGCUUCUUGGUUGGAGGGGGCUUGGGGUAAUCAGCAAGAGAUGGGGUGGUGAGAACCACCAGUCCAAGGAACAACACUAGCAAGUAUGUGGGAGACAUUUUUGAGUUUGGGCUGAUCAGAUGAUGCAAAACUAAAGCAUUACGUGACCUUUUAUAGCAUGUAGCUCCCAAUACCCACUAAGUAUUGUGGGGUCCAUUUGUGCCCUACGGGGUUGAAAACUUAGACAAUUGGGCAAGGACCCACCUGACUAUGGAGGACUAGUGAGGUGUGAUCAUAGCUUUAGGAUUUUUCUUCCUCUGCAGCCGUCGUGCCGUUGGCAUGAUUUUCUUAAUCUUAAAUAAAGGCAUAGUUAUAGAGUUGUUUAAUCUCUAAAUGGGAUUUUAUAUAUAUCUUCAGAUAGCCAUUAAUAUAUUUGAUGAAGAAAGAAAGACAAGUGCAUACAACAUGUAUACGACUAGCUUUCAUGGAGUUCAUUUAUGAUCAGUUUUCCUGUACAUGUAAACCAGGAUCAUAUAUAUGUUUCUGUUCCACAACUAUUUUGGAAUCUUGUUUAUCAGUUUUUAUCAUUAUAAUGUCACAUAGGCUGCCAACUUGGGCGCUAAAAGAACCAGUUGGGCUAGUUCGUUUCAGAAUUUCAAUGUGGAUUCAGGAAUUGUUUUGUAAGAUAUGCGAAAUAGUAGAGGGAUGAAUAGUGUUUCAUUAAUAAAAGUGUCCUGUAAAUUAGAAGGUGUCAUAGAAACUAUAAUCAAUAAAUAACUUUUUUUCCCCACGGGUGGUGUUUCUUGUGGGGAUCAGUGACUGGUUUAGGUUCACCCAAAAUGAGUUCAGACUAAAAUUGGUUUGAGUCAAUGCCGUGUCUCUUUUUUCCAGAAAUCAACUAUUUUAUGCAUUGAAUAAAUCAUACAAAGAAAAUAUGAACGCCCGCAAAACCUAAACCCUGGUUGCUAACUUUCUAUGUUUCAGUUCUAUUCACGCAAGAAUAUUAGUUUAAGUUUGGGAAAAAUGGCAACUUACCUAGUGAUUACUUGGUUUUGGUUUGCGACUAUUUACGCAACCAACCAUGAGUUUGACUUUAACGUCAUGGGUUGAAGCCUCCUACAGGAAGGGAGAAAGCUCCACAGCUAGCUCCAAAAGAGAAUUAUCACAUUGAUAGCUCCAGAGAUUCCCAAGGGGACUGAAUCAAAGACAAGUUCCUCACUUUUUCUUCUUUUGAGGCCAAAUAUGAACCAAGGAUCACACAACCUCAUUCAACUUCAUAAGUUUGAUUUCAUGCAGUUGAACACUGGGUGAAGGCCAUGACAAGAAUUGAUUCAAAAAUUCUAUCACUCUUUUAAGUAAUGGAAGAUUAUUAUCUCUGAUUGGCAUCACAACAGCACAUGCUCCUAGAUCUUUCUAGACACUCCAUGCAAUGAAAGCACAAUGGAUCUUGUAACGAUAGAAACUAAGCCAUGCUACAGUACUAGAUGAUGAGGUAAAACUAGUAGACACGGGUGGCAGCCUAUAUGGGAGGGACACAAGUCUAAUUGAUUUGCAUUUCAGCAUUAUAGAUAGGUAUGUUUUGGAAGAUUUGUUCUGGAAAUACCGCACCAAGUAGGAUUCUUUUUCUCUUUAGUGGGUCCACUUGCAUGCCAAUUAACGAGUUGAAAAGUAUGAGCACCUACCUCGUGCUCGUGGAACCGAAGGUCAGUGAAGUGGGGCUCCUUUUGGCCUCGUGUAAACUUGAUUCAGAAGUGAAGUUAAUAGUCUUCCAUUCAGAUGGAUACAUGGGAAUUUUUCUCUUUUAUUUAUUUAUUUAUUUUUUUUUUGUGUGUGUAUGUCAAAGGAUAAUGAAUGAAGCGCGUUAGCUUGUUUUCUGACUGGAACCGCAGAUGUCCAAAUUGGAGUUCCUUCAUUUCUUACUUAGGAUUGUUACAUGUAUAAACAAGGUAUAAGAAAUAUGCCAACGUGUCUUGAGGAGUUAUUGAUUAGAAAUAACAAGUCACCCGACUGUAGAGUUCCAAGAUUUGAAUCUUCAGACCCUAUAGCAGCCUCUGGGGUACGUGGCAUCCUAUAGCAUAUUAAUGAAGGCUUUUUCGAUUUAGACUUCACAAUACCAAUUAAUAUGUAUGCACAAAAUGGAGAUGACCCCAAAAAAAACAGAAUCGCCAUAGUUUAUGAGGUUAAGGUGAUUCUCCACUUAAUAUCUACAUUAGCUAAUUAUGUAAAUCAAAUGAACUUCUAUUUUUCCUUUUUUUUUUUGGUUUAUGUCAAAUAGUAGCCCAUAAUUAACCCAACCAUUAGCCUGUUUGAAUUGAUUUCACAUGCACAAUGUUGUAGUAGUUCAUAUUUUGAAUUUUAUUUUUACAAAGGUAGUUAAGGAAAAUGAAGUAUAAUAAUUAUAAAAGCAGACUAUAUACACUACAAUAAUUGUUAGAAUGGUAUCUCAAAUUCUAAUUUAAAAUAUUAUUUUUUGUAAAAGAAAUAUUAUAUAGAAUAUUUCCUAAUUUUAUAAAUGAUUAUAAUUAGAUCUUUAUAAAAUAAGGAAAGUUGGUAAGAAUAUCUUUAUAAAUAUUUUAGGUCAUGAGAGAAAGAAAUGGGAUAAAAAUGUGAUGAAGAGGUGAAAUAAGAGAGUUGAUUAGGAUAUAGAUGUGAAGAAGAAAGGGAUUCAAUAUAUAUAUAUCUUUCAAUUACCACAUUAAAACCCUGUGAACCUUUUAUAUGGUUUACUUUAUUUUUAUAUUCCUCCUUUAAUAUAUUUACAUUAAUGCUUCCAUUGGCACAACAAUAACGAAUUACAAAUACAAGCAACAAGUCCCAUGUUUUAUUACCAAAAGCAGGUAAAAUCCACCUAAUAUAUUACAAUAUAUUCAUCCAAUAUUUUAGACCAAUUCUUCACCAUAAAUAUCAUAAUGUGGCUUUUGUUCUUUCUUAAAUUUAAAUUGAAUUGUCUUAUAUCAAUUUGUUUGUGAUUUUUUCAUUAACUUCACUUUCAUUUGGUUAUCUUUGGUUUUUGAAAAGUAUUAAGGAAUUAAUUAACAAAAUAAUGUUAAGAAAAAUAAUUUUCUCUCUUUUGAUUUUGAUUUUGUAGUAGAAAAAUAUAAUUAAAAUUAUUUAAAAAGUAUGUAAUUUUAAAUUAUUUAAUAUUUAGAUAAAAAAAAUAAGUCUAAUGAGUUUAAAAUAACAUAUAAAAAUAAUUUAUUUAUUUUAAAUUUAUUUUUUAUUUUCCAUUAUGUUCUCUUUCUCUUUUACUUUUUCAUAUUUUUUCUUACGAAGAAUCAAACACAACCUCAUAUUAUAUGUCAAGUGUUUGUCUAUAUUUGAGCAAUGUUAGAUACGGCCAUGGAUUCAUCAAACUAAACUGAUUUUAAUAGAUACUUCACAAAUUGAUUUAUACACUAAAUCAUUGGAUAGCAAUGAUGCAUUGGAAUUAAACGUAGGAUGAAGCUCGAAGAACACUGUUUGUGUAACAACAUAUUUAUGAAAUUAUGCAAAGGAUGAGCUUCGGGGUAGUAGUACAAGGUCAUUAAUGGAGAGCCGUGUUAAACCUUGAUUGUGAUUGGAUUCCGUUAUCAGCAACAGCAACCUUGUUUGUAACCUUGAAAGUCAUUCUGUCCACAUCGAAACUCCAAUUUGACGUUUGUAAUUACCAUUCCUGGAGUGUUCCUUGAUUGAAAUUUAAAUAAUAAUUGCGGCCCACAAGGAAUAUUUUCGAUUCUGUGGGAAUUUGACAAGGUUUGUUAGAGAAGACUGGUGACAUGUUGACUUCAAUGGUUCAAAUAGGAGACGUAUGUGGAUUUGGGGGGUUUAAUUGAAACUGAGUCCCUAUGGCUUUUUAAUAUUUGCAUUGAGCAGUCUCCAUGUGACUUCCUAAUUCCCACCAACCCUCCUGUCCAUGCUGUGAAACUAAAUUGUAAUUUAUCAGCCUUUGUCAAUGGUUUCUAAAUUAAAGAUAUAGACCAUGCAUGUACUUUAAUAAAAGCAAAUCUAAAGUGUAGAUAGCAGCAAUGGUGACACCCAAUAUUCUCCAUAAAAUAGAAUUAGAAUAAGCAGUGUUACAUUGUUCAUGAUCACCUACAAGCAUACAAGAACUUCCAUGAAUAACUCAUAGCAAUUGCCAACAGGGCGUCGUAGAGACUCAUACAUAGAACACUAUCCACCCAGAGGAAAGGACAAGACCAGUGCGCUGCAGCUCUUAUUUUUCACAUGUAUACCACCACUCGUAAUAACCAAAUUCACUCAGUUGGGAUAGGUGGGAGAUGGUGGUUUGUGGGGUGGCUUGUGGGGAGGAGUUGGAGGAGGCUUUAUUUUCUGAGGCGGCUUGUAUGAGUGUGCAGGAGGAUGCCCGGGAGUGUGACCAUAAUGUGGUGGCUUCUCUCCCGUAGGUGGUUUGCCAAAUGGGCUUGGUGGCUUCUCUCCCUUAGGAGGUUUACCAAUUGGGGUUGGUGGCUUGUGUUCUGGGAGUGGUUUCUCUCCCUUGGUAGGUUUGCCAAUUGGGGUUGGCGGCUUAUGUUCUGGGAGUGGCUUCUCUCCCUUGGGAGGUUUGCUAAUUGGGGUUGGCGGCUUAUGUUCUGGGGGCGGCUUCUCUCCCUUGGGAGGUUUGCCAAUUGGAGUUGGCGGCUUAUGUUCUGGGAGUGGCUUUUCUCCCUUGGGAGGCUUGCCAAUUGGGGUUGGCGGCUUAUGUUCUGGGGGUGGCUUCUCUCCUUUAGGAGGUUUGCCAAUUGGAGUCGGCGGCUUAUGUUCUGGAAGUGGCUUUUUUCCCUUGGGAGGUUUGCCAAUUGGGGUUGGCGGCUUAUGUUCUGGGGGUGGCUUCUCUCCCUUGGGAGGUUUGCCAAUUGGAGUCGGCGGCUUAUGUUCUGGGAGUGGCUUCUCUCCCUUGGGAGGUUUUGUUGGUGGCUUGUGUUCUGGAGAUGGCUUCUCCCCUGGAGGCUUGUGCUCCGGAGGUGGCUUCUGAAAUGGCGGGGGCUUGGGGUAAUGAGCAAGAGAUGGAGUACUG
This 32021-nucleotide long non-coding RNA is filed under the name Vitis vinifera (wine grape). RNAcentral's name for it is "long non-coding RNA (VVIN_LNC001392)". The record is from RNAcentral. Lineage: Eukaryota; Viridiplantae; Streptophyta; Magnoliopsida; Vitales; Vitaceae.